This 540-nucleotide ribosomal RNA is filed under the name Salmonella enterica subsp. enterica serovar Infantis. RNAcentral describes it as "partial 23S ribosomal RNA". It matches the Rfam family "Bacterial large subunit ribosomal RNA", at positions 1 to 580 of the family's 2925-position model. Lineage: Bacteria; Pseudomonadati; Pseudomonadota; Gammaproteobacteria; Enterobacterales; Enterobacteriaceae. The record is from RNAcentral. RNAcentral also lists the same sequence under 216 other names.
GGUUAAGCGACUAAGCGUACACGGUGGAUGCCCUGGCAGUCAGAGGCGAUGAAGGACGUGCUAAUCUGCGAUAAGCGCCGGUAAGGUGAUAUGAACCGUUAUAACCGGCGAUUUCCGAAUGGGGAAACCCAGUGUGACUCGUCACACUAUCAUUAACUGAAUCCAUAGGUUAAUGAGGCGAACCGGGGGAACUGAAACAUCUAAGUACCCCGAGGAAAAGAAAUCAACCGAGAUUCCCCCAGUAGCGGCGAGCGAACGGGGAGGAGCCCAGAGCCUGAAUCAGCAUGUGUGUUAGUGGAAGCGUCUGGAAAGGCGCGCGAUACAGGGUGACAGCCCCGUACACAAAAGCGCAUGUGCUGUGAGCUCGAUGAGUAGGGCGGGACACGUGGUAUCCUGUCUGAAUAUGGGGGGACCAUCCUCCAAGGCUAAAUACUCCUGACUGACCGAUAGUGAACCAGUACCGUGAGGGAAAGGCGAAAAGAACCCCGGCGAGGGGAGUGAAAAAGAACCUGAAACCGUGUACGUACAAGCAGUGGGAGC